This 497-nucleotide ribosomal RNA is filed under the name uncultured bacterium. RNAcentral describes it as "partial 16S ribosomal RNA". It matches the Rfam family "Bacterial small subunit ribosomal RNA", at positions 28 to 507 of the family's 1533-position model. The record is from RNAcentral.
GAUGAACGCUGGCGGCGUGCCUAAUACAUGCAAGUCGAGCGAACGGACGAGAAGCUUGCUUCUCUGAUGUUAGCGGCGGACGGGUGAGUAACACGUGGAUAACCUACCUAUAAGACUGGGAUAACUUCGGGAAACCGGAGCUAAUACCGGAUAAUAUUUUGAACCGCAUGGUUCAAAAGUGAAAGACGGUCUUGCUGUCACUUAUAGAUGGAUCCGCGCUGCAUUAGCUAGUUGGUAAGGUAACGGCUUACCAAGGCAACGAUGCAUAGCCGACCUGAGAGGGUGAUAGGCAACACUGGAACUGAGACACGGUCCAGACUCCUACGGGAGGCAGCAGUAGGGAAUCUUCCGCAAUGGGCGAAAGCCUGACGGAGCAACGCCGCGUGAGUGAUGAAGGUCUUCGGAUCGUAAAACUCUGUUAUUAGGGAAGAACAUAUGUGUAAGUAACUGUGCACAUCUUGACGGUACCUAAUCAGAAAGCCACGGCUAACUACGUG